RNAcentral lists this ribosomal RNA (504 nucleotides) under uncultured Glomus. RNAcentral's name for it is "SSU rRNA". It matches the Rfam family "Eukaryotic small subunit ribosomal RNA", at positions 569 to 1078 of the family's 1831-position model. Lineage: Eukaryota; Fungi; Glomeromycota; Glomeromycetes; Glomerales; Glomeraceae. The record is from RNAcentral.
AGCAGCCGCGGUAAUUCCAGCUCCAAUAGCGUAUAUUAAAGUUGCUGCAGUUAAAAAGCUCGUAGUUGAAUUUCGGGACUAAUAUGUUGGUCGUGCCUCGGUACGUACUGGCAUUGUUGGUUUCUACCUUCUGACGAACCAUGAUGUCAUUAAUUUGGUGUCUUGGGAAUCAGGACUGUUACUUUGAAAAAAUUAGAGUGUUUAAAGCAGGCUCACGCUUGAAUACAUUAGCAUGGAAUAAUGAAAUAGGACGUUUGAUUCUAUUUUGUUGGUUUCUAGGAUCGACGUAAUGAUUAAUAGGGAUAGUUGGGGGCAUUAGUAUUCAAUUGUCAGAGGUGAAAUUCUUGGAUUUAUUGAAGACUAACUACUGCGAAAGCAUUUGCCAAGGAUGUUUUCAUUAAUCAAGAACGAAAGUUAGGGGAUCGAAGACGAUCAGAUACCGUCGUAGUCUUAAACCAUAAACUAUGCCGACUAGGGAUCGGAUGAUGUUAAUUUUUUAAAUGA